RNAcentral lists this long non-coding RNA (724 nucleotides) under Homo sapiens (human). RNAcentral's name for it is "HSALNT0136007". The record is from RNAcentral. Lineage: Eukaryota; Metazoa; Chordata; Mammalia; Primates; Hominidae.
CUGGAGGGCAGAGGAGGCGGCGCGGGGUGUCCUGUCCUCGCCAUGAGGCCGCAGCAGGCGCCGGUGUCCGGAAAGGUGUUCAUUCAGCGAGACUACAGCAAUUGAAAUUACCAUUUAUGAAGACAGAGGCAUGAGCAGUGGAAGAUAAACCGAAGAAUUAAAGAUCCCACUUCCAGCCGGGCCCCUCAUGUAUCCACUGGCCGACCGCAGAGUGUCCCUACCUCCUCUCCAGAGCAUCAUUCCUUUCUAUCUGCUGCCAGAGCCACGGUGCCAUUUACUCCAAGGACUCACUUUCUAAAAUUCCACACCUGGAGUGACCUCUAGUCGCUCAGCAUCCACUUUGUGUCUCCAAAUUGUGUAGGACUCUGUAAUCUUUUGAUUAGUUUCUGAGAAAACACAAUGAAGCACUUCACUUUUUUUUAUUCAAAGCCAUUUAAUAAAACACAGUUGGUCAGCCCAGUGCAAAGCUUGUUAUCUGCCACCAGUACAUACCAUUGGUUCUCUUCAUUCCUUGGGCCAGCUUCUCAGGUGGCUUUAGACCUCAACAAGCCGUAUCUUCACCAGUGUUCUAUCUUGUUCCCCUAAAUUAAUAAAAUGUUUUUCUCCAGGAUUUUGGUGAGGGUUGGCUGUGGCUGUCGUUUUGCACCUCCCAGAUUUCAAAGAAUUACUGGUUUUACCAUGACUCAAAUCUUAAGAUCUGUUUCUACUAUUCAGUUCCUCAAAC